Molecule: ribosomal RNA, 376 nt
Filed under: Ptyodactylus oudrii
Lineage: Eukaryota; Metazoa; Chordata; Lepidosauria; Squamata; Phyllodactylidae
Description: partial 12S ribosomal RNA
Rfam family: Bacterial small subunit ribosomal RNA
Source: RNAcentral
UUAGCCGUCAACACAGACAGCUACCUCACCCUGCUGUCCGCCAGAGUAGUACAAGUGAAAAACUAGAAACUCAAAGGACUUGGCGGUACCCCACACCAACCUAGAGGAGCCUGUCCCGUAAUCGAUACUCCACGCUAAACCUAACCGGCUCUUGAUAAUCAGCCUAUAUACCGCCGUCGCCAGCCUGCCUAAUGAUAGACACACAGCAGGCACAAUAGCCCACACUAAUACGUCAGGUCAAGGUGUAGCUAAUGAGCCGGGCAAAGAUGGGCUACAUUUUCUUAAUCUAAAAGAAAACCACCACACACCCACUGAAAACUGGGCCCCAAGGCGGAUUUAGCAGUAAACCAGGUAAGCUAAACCUGAUUGAAGCCUG